RNAcentral lists this ribosomal RNA (490 nucleotides) under uncultured Glomeromycotina. RNAcentral describes it as "SSU rRNA". It matches the Rfam family "Eukaryotic small subunit ribosomal RNA", at positions 569 to 1063 of the family's 1831-position model. Lineage: Eukaryota; Fungi; Glomeromycota. The record is from RNAcentral.
AGCAGCCGCGGUAAUUCCAGCUCCAAUAGCGUAUAUUAAAGUUGUUGCAGUUAAAAAGCUCGUAGUUGAAUUUCGGGGUCAGUAGAUUGGUCAUGCCACUGGUAUGUACUGGUCUCACUGAUUCCUCCUUCCUGAUGAGCCGUAAUGCCAUUAAUUUGGUGUUGCGAGGAAUCUGGACUGUUACUUUGAAAAAAUUAGAGUGUUUAAAGCAGGCUAACGCUUGAAUACAUUAGCAUGGAAUAAUGAAAUAGGACGUUCGAUCUUAUUCUGUUGGUUUCUAAGAUUGACGUAAUGAUUAAUAGGGAUAGUUGGGGGCAUUAGUAUUCAAUUGUCAGAGGUGAAAUUCUUGGAUUUAUUGAAGACUAACUACUGGGAAAGCAUUUGCCAAGGAUGUUUUCAUUAAUCAAGAACGAAAGUUAGGGGAUCGAAGACGAUCAGAUACCGUCGUAGUCUUAACCAUAAACUAUGCCGACUAGGGAUCGGAUGAUGU